CUGUGAGGCAUCGCAGCUCAUAACAUAAGGCCUUUUACAGUAAGUAAACGCUUGUUUUUGUACUGAUUACUAUAAUAGAUUGAAUCUAACAUAGUGACUCUGGCCAAUAAACUUUUAUAGCCAGUACAGACGGUGCCUUUCUGCUGAUAGAGGUCAGUGUUUUUCUCUUCCACACACGUUUUAUACGCAGUGUGUGUUUGGAGGCUGAUUAUAACGCUUGAAACUAAACUCCAAAGAAUUCUGCACUUAGAAAUGGAGGCACGAACCUUUACAGGCUGACUUUUAUCUCAG
Molecule: non-coding RNA, 291 nt
Organism: Pelobates cultripes (western spadefoot toad)
Lineage: Eukaryota; Metazoa; Chordata; Amphibia; Anura; Pelobatidae
Source: the annotation of a GenBank genome assembly